RNAcentral lists this ribosomal RNA (465 nucleotides) under Vreelandella stevensii. RNAcentral describes it as "partial 16S ribosomal RNA". It matches the Rfam family "Bacterial small subunit ribosomal RNA", at positions 338 to 795 of the family's 1533-position model. Lineage: Bacteria; Pseudomonadati; Pseudomonadota; Gammaproteobacteria; Oceanospirillales; Halomonadaceae. The record is from RNAcentral.
CCUACGGGUGGCAGCAGUGGGGAAUAUUGGACAAUGGGGGCAACCCUGAUCCAGCCAUGCCGCGUGUGUGAAGAAGGCCCUCGGGUUGUAAAGCACUUUCAGUGAGGAAGAACGCCUGGUGGUUAAUACCCAUCAGGAAAGACAUCACUCACAGAAGAAGCACCGGCUGACUCCGUGCCAGCAGCCGCGGUAAUACGGAGGGUGCGAGCGUUAAUCGGAAUUACUGGGCGUAAAGCGCGCGUAGGUGGCUUGAUAAGCCGGUUGUGAAAGCCCCGGGCUCAACCUGGGAACGGCAUCCGGAACUGUCAAGCUAGAGUGCAGGAGAGGAAGGUAGAAUUCCCGGUGUAGCGGUGAAAUGCGUAGAGAUCGGGAGGAAUACCAGUGGCGAAGGCGGCCUUCUGGACUGACACUGACACUGAGGUGCGAAAGCGUGGGUAGCAAACAGGAUUAGAUACCCCGGUAGUC